Ahaetulla prasina is the source of this 364-nucleotide long non-coding RNA. RefSeq lists it as uncharacterized. Lineage: Eukaryota; Metazoa; Chordata; Lepidosauria; Squamata; Colubridae. The transcript is spliced from 3 exons. The record is from RefSeq and is a predicted model, not a curated record.
GAUUUUUAAACAGAACACAAGUGCUGACUAAUGGUUUCAUAGCUUGUGGUGUACAUUUUCAUUUCUCUUAUAAUGUCCUGAUCUUGCUUCAAUUCUAGGGAACAGGAUAACUGGUGGAUGGUGAGUUGCUCCUGAUAUGAUUAGUAAAAUGCUUCCUCUGUGGCUAGCAAAUUGCUCUUUGAUCAUAAGCCCAUCUUAUGUCUCUCACACAAACUCACACACCACCACAGGCAUAACUGAGAAUGUGGCAUCUACCUGUGGGGCCAAGGAAGGGCAAGGAAGCAACAGCAACUAAAGAAAUAACAGUAGCAACAAUAACAACAACUUUGUUUCUCCAAGUUUGUAUCACACUGGUUCAGAAUAA